AUGCUAUCUGACGAAAACGAACAGCCAAAGGCCUUGCCAUUAUCACUUUUGGAAGACAUCACAGAUGGUUUCUCUGAGAACCGUCAAAUUGGCAGCGGUGGGUUUGCGGUAGUUUAUAAGGGAGUGCUUGAGAAUGGGACUGUUGCUGUGAAGAAGUUGCUUGAAAGUCUUGAUAUUCCUGAUAAUAAAUUCAAUGAAGAAAUUCGUUGUUUGAUGAGAGUAAAGCACAACAACAUAGUCCGGUUUUUGGGAUAUUGUGCUAACAUACAAGGCCAAAUGGAAAACUACAAUGGAGAUUUUGUCAUGGCAGAUAUACGUCAAAGGUUGCUUUGCUUUGAGUAUGUACCUAAAGGAAGUCUUCAUGAGUAUAUCAAAGAUACAUCUUCUAGACUUGACUGGAUAAAGAGUUAUCAGAUAAUAAAGGGUAUUUGUGAAGGUUUACAUUACCUUCACCAGAAUUGCAUUGUUCACUUAGAUCUCAAGCCAGCAAAUAUUCUGUUGGAUGACAAUAUGACACCAAAAAUUGUUGACUUUGGUCUGUCAAGGUGCUUCGAUGAAAAGCAAAGCCAAGCUAUUACCGAAAAUAUGGCUGGAACAUUGGGGUAUAUGGCACCAGAAUUUCAUAGAGGAGACAAAUGCAUGAUCACAUACAAAUCGGACAUAUAUAGUCUUGGUGUCAUAAUUAUAGAGAUGCUUACAGGAAAGAAGUGGUAUCCAGGAUAUCCUGAUGUUGAUAAUGUAAGAACAAUAUCGACUGUUUCAUGA
This 765-nucleotide ribosomal RNA is filed under the name Triticum aestivum (bread wheat). RNAcentral describes it as "partial small subunit ribosomal RNA". Lineage: Eukaryota; Viridiplantae; Streptophyta; Magnoliopsida; Poales; Poaceae. The record is from RNAcentral.